ACGGUAUUCGUAUUUUUCUGUGCGUUUUUGCACACACAGAAGUAUUUAGGUUUCUAGUAGUGAUAUGUGGGGAACUAAACUCUAAUAUAGAUAAAAGUGAGUAAUGGGUGAAGUGGUAGAGAAGGCUACGCGUGAGGUUGAGGUCAUGAGUUUGAAUCCUACUGAUCGCGAAGCGCGCGAUUUCAUGCACAAAAAUGCGUGACUUUUGCGACGGGCGAGCGGAUAACCAAUGGGCCUUUUCUGGGAUUAAAUCUUUUUUUUCCUAUUUUUAAAAGCUGAUUUUGUAUUUUCUAGAAAAGUAUUUCUACAGUGCGGCUACACAUCAUGGUAAACCUGGAUCCCUUCAUCUCCUUCAUAAGGUACAAUGUCAUGCAAUAUGCAGACAAAGCACACGGAGCCUGGCAACAAUUUGCAUGUAGGAAGUGGAUCGGUGAGUAGGAGGGC
RNAcentral lists this long non-coding RNA (444 nucleotides) under Sorghum bicolor (sorghum). RNAcentral's name for it is "long non-coding RNA (SBIC_LNC015246)". Lineage: Eukaryota; Viridiplantae; Streptophyta; Magnoliopsida; Poales; Poaceae. The record is from RNAcentral.